UGGGGAAUAUUGCACAAUGGGGGGAAACCCGUGAUGCAGCGACGCCGCGUGAGUGAAGAAGUAAUUCGUUAUGUAAAGCUCUAUCAGCAGGGAAGAAAAUGACGGUACCUGAGUAAGAAGCCCCGGCUAACUACGUGCC
This 139-nucleotide ribosomal RNA is filed under the name uncultured bacterium. RNAcentral's name for it is "partial 16S ribosomal RNA". It matches the Rfam family "Bacterial small subunit ribosomal RNA", at positions 355 to 509 of the family's 1533-position model. The record is from RNAcentral.